AAGGUGCAAUAGGUAGUUGCUGGUGACAGCAUGUCACGAGAGGAAAGUCCGGGCUGCAAGUAAAGCGGGGCUCCAUCUAACAGAUGGCCAGAGUAAUCUGAGGGCAAGUGCAACAGAGAGUAAACCGCCAAACUUUGUUUGGUAAGGGUGAAAGGGUGGGGUAAGAGCCCACCAGUACUUAUGGUAACAUAGGUAGCUAGGUAAACCCUGUCCGCAGCAAGAAGUAUAUGGUAUAAGUUUUGCAAGCUGUUCACUCAGCACCCAUACUUCGCUUGAGCGUAUUGGCAACAAUACGCCUAGAUAAAUAACUACCCACGACAAAACCCGGCUUAUCGUUGCACCUGUAAU
This 348-nucleotide RNase P RNA is filed under the name Sulfurovum sp. Its description in RNAcentral is "RNase P RNA component class A". It matches the Rfam family "Bacterial RNase P class A". Rfam says of the family: Ribonuclease P (RNase P) is a ubiquitous endoribonuclease, found in archaea, bacteria and eukarya as well as chloroplasts and mitochondria. The record is from RNAcentral. Lineage: Bacteria; Pseudomonadati; Campylobacterota; Epsilonproteobacteria; Campylobacterales; Sulfurovaceae.